UACGUAGGGUGCAAGCGUUAUCCGGAAUUACUGGGCGUAAAGAGUGCGUAGGUGGUUUCUUAAGUUAGAUGUUAAAUCUACAGGCUCAACUUGUAGGCUGCAUCUAAUACUGGGAGACUUGAGAGUAGAAGAGGCAAACGGAAUUCACGGUGGAGCGGUAAAAUGCGUAGAUAUCGUGAAGAACACCAAUGGCGAAGGCAGUUUGCUGGGCUAUUUCUGACACUGAGGCACGAAAGCGUGGGGAG
RNAcentral lists this ribosomal RNA (245 nucleotides) under uncultured bacterium. RNAcentral describes it as "partial 16S ribosomal RNA". It matches the Rfam family "Bacterial small subunit ribosomal RNA", at positions 524 to 768 of the family's 1533-position model. The record is from RNAcentral.